This is a long non-coding RNA of Solanum lycopersicum (tomato), 2757 nucleotides long. RefSeq lists it as uncharacterized. Lineage: Eukaryota; Viridiplantae; Streptophyta; Magnoliopsida; Solanales; Solanaceae. The record is from RefSeq and is a predicted model, not a curated record.
ACAAAGUACAUAUAUUUUUCUUUUCAUUGACUGUUCAUAUUUUCAGAGAGAAAUUCAAUUAAAAAACCCUAACAUCACGCUUACUCUUAUCCUCUUAGGCCUUAGCAGAAGAUCCUAAUCUCGUCUUCCACCAUCAAGGUAAUCCAGAAGUCUAAACUCUAAAGCAUCACAAUAAAUGAAGACGUCUCUAGUAAUGCAAGCAAAAAAUAUUUUGCAUGGAAAUAUACAAUCGUGACUCCAGAUGAGAAGUACUUUAAAUGUAGAUUCUGUGAACAUACUUGUAGCGGCACGCUUAAUAGGCUUAAGCAUCAUAUAGCAGGCACCCAUAAAGGAAUAAAUCCUUGUCUUAAAGUUCCAAAGCGGAAGAAUGCAAGAAAGCAUUAUUGAAGGUUCAAAAUUUGAAAACUAUGCGAAGUGCUACUUUAGAAGAAAUGAGAAGGGUUGCAACUGGAAGUAGUAACAUAGGCAGUGAAGCAGGUUCCUGUCAAAUUAGUGAAAAUCUACUUUCAACGGCUAGAGGUUCGAUAAAUAAUUUUGUGAAUACUCAAGCAAGACAAGUUACUUUGAACUCAAAAUGGAAAAAAGAAGAAAGAAAAGAAGUUUGUCAGCGAAUUGGUAGGUUUUCCUUCUCAAGUGGUAUUCCAUUUAAUAUUGCAAAUGAUCCAUGCUAUUUGCCUAUGUUUGAAGGAGUUGCUAAUUAUGGCCCUGGUUUUGUGCCUCCUUCAAUGUUUGAGUUGAGAACUUUUAUACUAAAAGAUGAGGUUACAAAUAUUAACAAGAUGUAAGAUGAAUAUAAGAAAUCUUGGAAACAGUAUGGUUAUUCUAUUUUGUCUGAUAGUUGGACAGAUGGUAAAAAGAGAUGUUUUAUAAACUUUUUGACUAACAGCCCGGCAGGUACUUUCUUUUUAAGAUCGAUUGAUGCUUCUGAUUAUAUAAAAAAAUGGUGAAUUGCUUGUAUGAAGUUGGAGAAGAGAAUGUCGUGCAGAUAAUAACCGAUAAUGGUAUUAAUUUUAUGAAUGCCGAAAAAAGAAUAAUGGAAACUCGAUCUCAUGUUUACUGGACACCGUGUGUUGCACAUUGUAUUGAUCUCUUGUCGGAAGACAUAGGAAAGUCAAAAAUUCAUAAAGAAACACUUAGAAAGCAAAAGAAGUAGUGAGAUUUAUUUAUGGACAUACUUGGGUGUUGGAUUUAAUGAGAUCAUUUACAAAUAAUCAUGACCUUCUUCGUCCUGUUGUUACUCGCUUUGCUACGGCUUAUCUCACACUUCAAAGCAUCCAAAAGAAAAGACAAGGUCUUAGAUCUAUGUUUUCUUCCGAAGCUUGGAAAAAAUUCGCUUAGUCUGAGAAACAUGAAGGGGUUAAAACAAGAUCUACAAUUUUGUAUCAUCAAAAUUUUUGGACAUAUAUUGCUUAUUGUGUGAAAUGUGUUUCUCCUUUGGUUAGUGUUUUGAGGGAACUAGAUUCAGAGGAAAAACCAUGCAUGGGGCAUUUGUAUGAUUUGAUGAAUAAGGCUAAGGAAAAUAUAUCUAUAAAUUUUGGAUAUAAUGAAAAAAGUAUGGUCCCAUUUCGAAAAGAAUUGAUGAAAGAUGGACUCGCCAAUUCAAUCGUCCACUUCAUGUUGCUGGAUAUUAUUUGAAUCCCCAAUUACGAUUUGAGGAAAGAUUUUCUCUUGAUUUUGAAGUGAAAAACAAUUGUAUAUGUGAAUGGAAAGAAUGUUUUAUUAUGAAGAAAGAUUCAAAGUGGAUAUUCAAUUAGAUUCAUAUGACUAGUUGAAAGGAGAAUUUGGAUUUCAAAUAGCUAUGGAUUCUAGAAAAUUGAGAUCUCCGGCAGAUUGGUGGAUGCGCUUUGGAGGCCAGACUCCGGACUUGACUAAAGUUGUAGUUCAUGUCUUGAGUCUCACGUGCAGCUCCUUGGGUUCUGAAAGAAAUUGGAGUGCCUUUGAGUCGAUCCAUAUCAAAAAGAGAAAUAGACUUGAGCAUCAUAGGCUAAAUGCUCUUGUUUAUGUAAGAUACAACACUAGACUAAGAGAAACGAGCAUCAAAAGAAAAUUGCAAAAAAUGGAUCCAGUUCUUGUUAAUGAAAUUGAUUCUGAUGAUGAAUGGAUUACUGAGAAAGAAGAUCCUCUGCUUCCUGAAGACCCUUCUUGGCUUGAUGAAGAGAAUUUAUUGAUGUUGAUGUUGUUAGAAAUGUGCCGCUUACACCAUAUGAGAAUGAUCUUUUACAUGAAGCGAAUAUUGGUAGUUUAAGAGAUAUAAGUGAAGUAGGUCCCUCUGCAAAAAAACAAAAGACAUCAGAAACAUAAAUGCAAUUUGAGGUUGAUGACACUAAUGAAGGAUUAGUAGAUGUCGAGAUUGAUGAGGACGACCUCAUAUUUGAUAGGCGAUGGAUAGAUGUGGUACUUUUUAGACUUUUAAACAAAACUUCCCCAAUCAGAUGCAAUUGGGAUUUUAAUUACUGCAAAGCUAAUAUGUGAAUAAUAACUUUUUUGAAACAAAGGCAAGAGACAUCAAGAAAAGCAAGUUAUAUGGCUUCAAGGAUAAACUGGCAAUGCAGUCCAACUAGGCCUAUGGAGGCUCUUGACAUUAGGAAUAAGAUUAAUUUUUUUUGUGUUAAACUAUUGAAAAAAUUGUUGUGUCUUUAUGCAAGAUGAGUGCGUGUUAGCUUUUAAUGAUGUACUAGUGAGUUCAUGACCAUAUAUUUUUUGCUGCACAAAUUUAUCUUAUGUUGUUUAAUAACAAAUAGAGUUUUUGACCUCUCA